RNAcentral lists this ribosomal RNA (253 nucleotides) under uncultured bacterium. Its description in RNAcentral is "partial 16S ribosomal RNA". It matches the Rfam family "Bacterial small subunit ribosomal RNA", at positions 524 to 776 of the family's 1533-position model. The record is from RNAcentral.
UACAGAGGGUGCGAGCGUUGUCCGGAAUCACUGGGCGUAAAGGGCGCGUAGGUGGCCCGGUAAGUAGGGGGUGAAAUCUCGAGGCUCAACUUCGAGGCUGCCUCCUAAACUGCCAGGCUUGAGCAGAGUAGAGGCAGGUGGAAUUCCCGGUGUAGCGGUGGAAUGCGUAGAGAUCGGGAAGAACAUCGGUGGCGAAGGCGGUUCUCUGGGCCUUACCUGACACUGAGGAGCGAAAGCGUGGGGAGCGAACAGG